GUCUUUUGCGCCUCCAUGUGGAUCUCAGGGUUGUGUGUUCUAGUUCUGUGCAGAACGCCGUUGGUUCCAUGGGCUUUGGGUGGAGUCUGUCACCUGCUCUGAUGGUGGGCGCUCACCUGGGAGGGAGACCACGCAGCGUCUGCCUCUCCGUGUCUCAGUCUGCCCCCCAGUUUCAUCCGUGUUGCUGCAGAAGCCAGGAUUCCGUUCUUGUGCGUGGCUGAACAGUGCUCCUCCACACACACGUGCCCCGCGGUUUCCUCCUUCCCUUCUGGGUGCCUUUGUGGCCUGUGGUCCACAACACAGAGGAUGCCUGCGUCUCAGCCGUGCCUCCUGUGCGCCAUCUCUUCUGGUGGGCACUGCACCUGCACCUGUUCUCAGCAAUGGGAAUUAUCUUCCCUUUGCUGCUGGGUGCGGGUGCGGGUGCAGGGGGGAGCAUCUUUUAAGGGCGGUCUGGUGCUGAUGAAUUCUUUCAGUGUCCCCUUGUCUUCAUAAGUCUUCAUUUCCCGGGGCCGGCGCCAUGGCUCACUUGGUUAAUCCUCCACCUGCAGUGCCGGCAUCCCAUAUGGGCACCGGUUCUUGUCCCGGUUGCUCCUCUUCCAGUCCAGCUCUCUGCUGUGGCCCGGGAGGGCAGUGGGGGAUGGCUCAGGUCCUUGGGCCCUGCACCCCAUGGGAGACCAGGAGGAAGCACGUGGCUCCUGGCUUCAGAUCGGCACAGCGCCGGCCGUUGCGGCCAUUGGGGGAGUGAACCCAUGGAAGGAAGACUUUUCUCUCUGUCUCUCUCUCACUGUCUAUAGCUCUACCUGUCAAAUAAAACAUGAAUCUCCUCUCCCUCUCUCUUGUGAAAGGCAGCACUGCUGAGUGUGGUGUAUUUGCUGAGAACUCGGGACUCAGCAGCCCUCGCCUGGAGGCCUCUGCCUAGCACUCUGCCGCCAGUCUAACGGGGACCCCUGCCUCUUUUGCGUCUGACUGGGACGCUUCACAGGACCUGUGUUCCAGCUCCCGUGUCCGCUCUCCCGCCCACUUAGCCCAGUCUGCCGCUGGCUUAGCUCCACACUGCAUCUGACUUGUCUCGGUGUGCGCUCCUCAUCUGGGCUGACGUGGAUCCUCCCGUAGCCAGGGGAUGCUGGCGUCUGGGCACUCACCCCCAGUGCUGGGAUCUGUCUGUCGCUUUGCUCGUCUCUGCUGGGCAACUAUUUGGCGAUCGGCGAGUCUCUCAGCAAAGAAAACAUUGUUGGUCUAGCGCUUAAUGCUGCCGGCGGUCGCUGUGCGCAGGGAGAGGCGGGCUCCUUCCUCUAACUAAGAACGAGGUCGCGUACGAAAGCCGAGGAAGACAGGGCACGUUGGCUGCUCCCAUUCCGUGAGAACGGCAAGAAAUAAAACUCCAGGGCUUUCAAAAAUUAUUUUAUAUUUUAGUUACUUUUUAAAAAGCUUCCUUUUUAUUUAUUUUAAAGGCAGGUGUGAGACGGAGAGAAAUCAUACUUCCGCUGGUUCAUUUCUGAAAUGCCGGCAACAGCUGAGGAUGGGCCAGGCUGAAGCCGGGAACCAGGAACCCCUCCCUGGUCUCCCCGGGAUGGGCAGUGGCCCAGUACUUCUGCCUCCCGGGGUACUCUGUCGCAGGAAACUGGGUCAGGAGAGGAGGUGGGCGUUGAGCCAGCCUCCCGUACGGGUGUGCUAAGCAGUGGCUUUGCCUGUGGCACUGCAGUGCCCGCCUUGCAAUUCCUACUUGGAAAAAUCACUGUUUUCAUUUAUUUGGGAGGCAGAGAGACAUGCACACACACGGAGACAGAGAGAUUUCUUCCGUCUGCUGGUUCCCUCGCCCAGGCCAAAGCCAGGAGGCGGGAGCACCGUCUGAGUCUCCCAUGUGGGUGGCAGGGGCCCAGCACUCGAGCCAUCGCCUGCUGCCUCCCAGGGUGCGUUGGGAGCAAGGCUGGGCUGCAAACCCAGGCUCUGCACGUGGGGUGCGUGUGUCCAGGGGCUGUAUGAACUGCUGGGCCAAGCCUCUGCGCCUCCACGUGCUGGGCUAUCAGGGAACAGCUUGUGUGUGAACACUCACCAGCAUACCAGAGGGCUCCAGCGUGUGCACGCAGAACUGAGACGGAAAGAUAACGAUUGCUUUCCAGCGUGAGCCCCCCGCAGAAGACACGAUGCCGGCCGUUCACCGCCUCUCGAGGGCUGAGAGUCCGGGACCUAACCCCUCACUGCGCCUUUUGUGCACUGGUGCGUCGGGACUGUAGGGUGGGUUAGAAUUCUUCCAAGUGCUGCCUCCCCCACUUUGUGUUUGCUGAGAGGCAUGGGCAGGAGCGUGGACUCCCUGUUGGUGCUCCCUGUGUUCCUCAGCCUGGCUGACUUCCCUCCAACGCUCCUGAUGCUGUUCUCUGGCCUUGCAUCUGCAGAAACCGUGGCCAUGACCUUGGCUCCCAACCGGUCCACUUUCCCCUGUGCUGGUCCACUCUCCACUCUGGGCGGCUCCGACUGCUUUGUCUUCAGGAGCAUCCUGGCAAAGCCGCGUUUCGUCUCCUGUCACCGUUCCACAGACAAAGCUUCGGGAUCCCGACCCCCUCCUGCAAACUCCCGUGGGAAGCCCGGCUCGUGUGGGCCCGGCUCGGGUGUGUGGGUUUGGCACUCCUGGAGCAGACAGCCAUCCACACGCACCCGGAGGUCUGUGGUGCUGCCCUAACCCGCUGGGCAAGGUCAAGCUGAAGGGGUGGUCUCCCGUGGCAGGCUUCGUCUUCAACUCCACCUCCAGCAUCGUCUCACCCCUCCCUGAGAGGGCGGCGUCUGCGCCUGCGCCGUCCCCACAGCCUCUGUAGAGCCCUGGAGGUGUCGGCGUCCUCCCACGCACGCUGCACGGGAAACCUGGUGCUUGCAUUUCUCCAGGUCUCGCCACACUCACGUUCUCUGACUCCGGGGCUUCUUCCAGACCAAUGCUUCCUCCUCCCGGGUGUCUUGGAUUAGAUCCUGCCCGGACGUGUUACAACAAGCUAGUAUGAGUUUACUUUGGGGCAAAUAACUUUUAAACCCAUGCAUUUUUUUCAUAGUCAUCACUUUCUGUGAAUUUCAGGCCCUUCCUAUAUGCUCAGCAGGUAAAAGACUGAUGGAGUUUACUUUGCAGUUGCAGAGCAUUUUCCAAUCUCGCUGUUUAAUUGCAUUUGCCUAACCAUACCGUUUAAUUUUCCAUACAUGAAGUAUGCAGUGGAGGGUUUAUUAGCAAUUAUUCUACUUAUUAAGUGCUACUAUUUAGCAGGCGUUGUGCCACGUGCUCCCACACUGAGAAAUAAGACAGUGUGCGCUCAGCCCAAAGAGCCUGCUGUAGGGCCGAGGGUUCCCACACUGGUGCUGAGAAGGGGACGGAAAGCCUUCCUAUGGAGUUUUGUUGAGACACAGAGCCCACGGAGGGCUACGAAGACGAGCAGUCUAGAAGGAAGAUUCCAGGCAGGGCAGCCAGCACUCGCAAAGGGCCCUCCAGUUAAGCACGGCCUAGGACGUGGCGGAAUGCCUUGCGGGUGGGUGGGAGAGAGACGGACUGAGUCGCGAUGAGGUUGGAGAGAGACGAAGGGCCCGGGGGACAUGCGGGGUCGAAGUGACGAAGAGUUUAGGAAACCACGGACGGUCUCCCUAAGCGGAAAGGAGAUGGGUGAGGCUGAGGGACACUUGCGUGCAGAAUGUUGCUGGGUGCCGCUGUUUGUCUCCGUGGAAGACCACGUUGGAGCAGCGGCAGGCAGCUCAGGGUGGAUCUUGGCAGGUUGUGUGCAAGUCGAGCGGCUGGGUUUGCCUGGAGUUUGGUGUGACCGUUCAGAGAAGGAGGGCUUGCACACCGUGUCUGGUUUCUGUCUGAGCCCCUGGGUGAAUGGUGGGAUGGAGUAAGGGAGGCUGGUGCGGGGGGCACGUUUCAGUUUCCUUGGGGACGCGCUGGGGUUGAGCUGGCUGGGCUGGCAGCUGGAUAGUCAGGGUUGCAGUGUGGAGGGAGUUGUGGGCUGGAAAGGGACAGGGAGGGGAGGAGAAACCCAGGGAGAGGAUGGAGGAGGCAGCACCCAGACAGAAGGGGACCCAGCGGGAGUGCCCUGGCAGGAGCCUAGGAGGAAGGUGGUCCCUGCGGGAGUCACCUGCGAGGGUCUCUCUCAGUAGAUAGGGACAGAAACGUAACCAAAGUGAUGGUGGCAAUAACAGAGCCAGUGGCAUAACACGGGUGGAAGCCAGGUUGAAGGGAGGGAAGACGUAGGAGGCAGCAAUGAGAGCAGCAGAAGUAGUGGUGUCUUUGGAAGGGUCUCUACGCCUGAGAACAGGAACGGGGCAGGAUUGUUUUUUUUUUGACAGGCAGAGUGGAGAGUGAGAGAGAGAGACAGAGAGAAAGGUCUUCCUUUGCCGUUGGUUCACCUUCCAAUGGCCGCCGCGGCCGGCGCACUGCGCUGAUCCGAUGGCAGGAGCCAGGAGCUUCUCCUGGUCUCCCAUGGGGUGCAGGGCCCAAGGACUUGGGCCAUCCUCCACUGCCUUCCCGGGCCACAGCAGAGAGCUGGCCUGGAAGAGGGGCAACCGGGACAGAAUCCGGCGCCCCGACCGGGACUAGAACCCGGUGUGCCGGCGCUGCAAGGCGGAGGAUUAGCUUAGUGAGCCGCGACGCUGGCUGCGGGGCAGGAUCUUAAACAGCGCCACCCUGGAGCUGGCCUUUGCCUUCCCUGGACUCUUCAUUAGAAACAGAGCAGUUGCUGGUGCAGGGGCAGGGACCCCUGUCCUGGAGGCUGGGCCUGUGACGGGGCGGAAUCCUCGGGUGCGGGUGCUGCUGAGCCUCAAGGCAGUGAGGGACGAGCUGCGACAAUGCCCCCCCCGACCGAGGCAGAAACAGUCUCAAGCAGGUUCAAUGAUUUUCUCAGGGUGAUGUGGAAAGCAGGGUUCGGGCCAGUUUGCUCGGUUUUGUUCUGCAACAGAGCGUGCCUGGUGUGCGUGACGGAGUUUCUCCUGGACGCUCAGGCCUCCUUAGUGCUCCUGGCUGGAUCUCCCGAGAACCCGCUUUCUCGGAUUUGUGCCCUCGCCUGCUCCUCUCCUGCUCCCAGCCAAGGACCCUGGGGCUGCGGCGCUGCGGCCAUGCACAGACUGGACAGAGGCGACCACACGGAUCUCCAUGGCCACGCAGCUUUCUGGACCAGUGGCUGAAGUCAUCUUUGCUGAAGACCUUGAACUAGAACCCUUGGCAGAUUCCAGGUGGUUCUGUUAUUGGGAGGAGAACUUGUGGCAGAUAGCAUCCUGGAAUAUCUCUGAAUAUGAUGACAAAACAGCAAGGCGGCUGAAGUCUAAAUUCCCCUCUCAACAGUUUUCCAGGCCCCAGCGCUGGCCCCAGGAGGGAUAUUUUAAUGCUAAUUCUGCGCUGUAGUGCAGUGGGUUAAUCCUCCACAGCAACUCUGACUUGAUUCUCAGGUGCUUUGUAAAGGAAUUCGUGACAGUGUUGAGUGUAUGUGGUUUGUGGCUGGCCUGUACUCAGGAGUCCCCCUCUCCCCAGUUUCUUAUGCAUUCAGCAGGUUAACACUUCGUCAGACGAAGAGUUGCAAACGUUCUCUCCCAUUCUGUCCACCCUUCAUUGUUUCUUUGCUGUACCAAAGCUUCUUAGUUAGAUACAAUCCCAUUUGUCGAUUUCUGUUUUUGUGGUCUUAUCCGAAAUAUCAUUGGUUAUCUGAUGGCUUGAAGUAUCUAUCUUGUUUUGCCCUGGAAGUUUAGAAUUUCAGGUCUUAUGCUUGGGUAGCUGACCCAUUGUGAACUGGUUUUUGUACGAGAGACGGAUGUGUGCGCAGGAUCAAGUUCAGUCACCUGAGGAUUCCAGUCUUUCCUUCGCCAUUCGACCAAGAGCCUGUCCUUUCUCUGAUGGAGGUUUCUAUGUCUUUGUCAAGUAGCAAGUGACUGUUGAUGCCCGAACUUAUUUCUGGAAACUCUAUUCUGAUUCCAACAUCUGUAGUCCAGUUUCAUGCCAGUGUCAUGCUGUUUGGUUUCUAUAACUCUGUAGUAUGUUUUGAAAUCAGGUAACAGGAUGCCUGAAUUUUGUUUUUUAUGUUCAAAAAAAUUUUUUUUGCCUUUUAACCAUCUUUCUUGAUUCCACAUGAAUGCUAAGAUGUGUUUUCUAGGUUUGGGAAGAAUGCCAUUGGUACUUUGAUGGGGAUUAGAUUGAAUUUGUAAAUUUCUGUGGGUAGAGUGGACUUUUUUAAAAAGGUUUAUUUAUUUAUUUGAAAGUCAGAGUUAUACACACACACACACACACACAGAAGUCUCCCAUCCGAUGGUUCACUCCACCAUUGGCCACAAGGGCUGGAGCUAAGCUGAUCUGAAGCCAGGAGCUUCUUUUUGGGUCUGUCACAUGGGUGCAGGGGCCCAAGGAUUUGGACCAUCUUCUACUGCUUUCCCAGGCCAUAGCAGAGAGCUGGAUUUGAAGUGGAGCAGCCAGGACUAGAACCAGCACCCAUAUGGAAUGCCAGCACUGCAGGCAACAGCUUUACCCACUAUGUGCUGGCCCCAGGAUGGACGUUUUAAUAAUGCUAAUUCUGGGGGCCAGCGCUGCAGGCUAGGAGAGAAUGGAGAGCCAUAGUUCAAAUUCUAAAGGAAAGAAACUGUUAACCCAGAAGACUGUACCCCACAAGGCUCUCGUUUAUAAAUGAAGGUGCAAUAAAGACGUUCCAAAACAAACAGAAAUGAAAGAAUUUGUCACCACUUAUCCAGGCUUACAAAUUAUUCUCAAGGAUGUGCUACACACAGAAAUAGAGAAUGAUAGUCAUGGUCAUGAAAGACUGCAAAGGCAGAAUAUCUCCUAGUAAAGGUACAAAGGAAAUUCAAAGCAAACAGUAGGAUUACUUAUGGAAAAAUGGUAGGAUCAAAUUGUUACUUAUCAAUAAUAACCUUGAAUGUAAAUGGUCCAAAUUCUCCAAUAAAGAGACACAGACUGGCUGAAUGGAUUACAGCACAAGACCCAUCUAUUUGCUGACUGCAAGAAACACGCUUCAACAACAAAGAUACCCACAGACUGAAAGAGAAAGAGUGGAAAAAGGGAUUCUGCUCCAACAGAAAGUAAAAACGAGCAGGUGUGGCCAUCCUAAUAUCAGACAAAUAGACUGUUGAAAGAGACAAAGAAGGAUGUUACGUAAUGAUUAAGGGAUUAAUUCACUGGAAGAUGUGACUAUAAUAACUGUAUAUGUACCCAAUGCCAGGGCUCUUGGCUAUUUAAAACAAAUGUUAAAGGAGCUAAAAGGAGACAUAGACACUAACACAAUAGCACUGAAGGACUUCAACACCCCUCCUUCAUCCUUGGACAGAUCAAUAGACAGGAAACCAACAAAGAAACAGCAGAGCUAAUCUACGCUGUGGAGCCAACGGACUAACUGAUAUCCACAUCCCACAGUUGAAUUUACAAAUUCGUCAGCUGAACGUGGAACUUUAUCUAGGACAGACCAUAUCCUAGGCCAUAAAGCAAGUCUCAGCAAAUAAAAAAAAUUGAAAUCGUGCCUUGUAUCUUUUCUGACCACAAUGGAAUGAGGCUGGAAUUUAACAACUUACAAAUCUCUAGAAAAUAUGCAAACACAUCAAGACAGACCAUGCUCCUGAAUGAAUAGUGUGUCAAGGAAGAAAUCAGAACAUUCUAAAAGUGAAUGCAGAUGACAACACAACAUAUAAAAACUUUUGGGAUAUGCAAAAGCAGUGUUAAGAGGGAAGUUUAUAGCAAUUGGUGCCUACAUCAAGAAAUUGGAAAGGCUUCAAAUAAUGGAGCUACUGAUGCAACUCAAGGACCUAGAAAAACAAGAGAAGAAAGAAAUAAUUAAAGAGAAGAAAUAAACAAAACUAAAGCAAAAAACACCAAAAGAUCAAUGAAACAAAGAGCUGCUUUUUUGAAAAAUUAAACAAAAUUGAUACACCAUUGACUCAAUCAAUAAAAUCAGGGAUAAAAAAGGAGAUGCAACAACAGACACCACAGAAAUAAAAACAAUCAUAAUUAUUACUAUGAACAGCUGUAUGCCAACAACUUGGAAAAUCUAGAAGAAAUGGAUAGAUUCCCGGACACAUACAGUCACACAGUUGAGACACAAAGACACUGAAAACUUAAACAGACCAAUAACCAAGAAGGAGAUUAAAUCAGUAAGAGACCCUCCCAACCAAGAAUAGCCCAGGGCUGGAUGGCUUCACUGUUGAAUUCUAUCAUGUUUUUAAAGAGGAACUGAUUCUAAUUCUUCUUAAACUAUUCAGAACAAUUGAAAAUGAGGGAACCCUCUCAAACUACUGUGAUGCCAGCAUCACCUUAAUUCCAAGACCCGAGGAAGGCAGAAGAAAUGUAGACAACUGUAGACCAAUAUCCCUGAUAAACAUUGGUGCAAAAAUCCUCAACAAAAUACUAGCCAAUCGAAUCCAACAACACAUCAGAGAGAUCAUUCACUCAGACUAAGUUGGAUUUAUCUUUGGCAUGCAGGGAUAUUUCUUCUUCUUUUUAAAGAUUUAUUUUUUUUAUUUGAAAGUCAGAGUUACACAGAGAAAGGAGAGGUGGAGAAAGAGAGAGAGAGAGAGAGAGAGAGAGAGAAAGAGAGAGAGACUGACACAAACAUAGACAUGUAGGCCAAUGGAGCAGAAUAGAAGCCCCAGAAAUUAAUCGACACCUCUACAACCAACUCAUCUUUGAGAAAUGACUUGAAAUCAAUUCCUGGAGAAAGGAAAGUCUCUUCAACAAAUGGUGCUGGGAAAAUUGGAUCUCCAUGAUCAGAAGUAUGAAACAAGACCCUUACCUUAAAUCUUAUACAAAAAUCAACUCAACAUGGACCUAAAUAUACGACCUGAUACCAUGAAAUUACUAGAGGAAAACAUUGGAGAAACUCUGCCACACAUUGGCAUAGGCAAAGACUUCUUGGAAAAGACCUCAGAAGCACAGGCAAUCACAAUAAAAAUAGAAAAAUGUGAUUACAUCAAGCCAAGAAGAUUCUGCAUUGCAAAGGCAGUAUGCGGCAAAAUGAAGAGGCAACCAACAGGAUGGGAAAAAUAUUUCAAAUUUGCAACUGACACAGGAUUAAUAUCCAGAACCUGUAGAGAGCUCAAGAAACUCAGCAACAACAAAAACAACCGAAGCAAAAACCAUCCAGUUAAAAAUGGGCAAAGGACAUGAACAGACAUUUUCAAAAGAUGAAAUUCGAAUGACUAAAAUACACACGAAAAAAUGAUCAAGAUGACUAGCCACCAAUGAGAUGCCACGAAAAACCACAGUGAGGUUUCAUCUCACUCCUAUUAGAAAGACCAGCAUUGCAAAAAUAAAAAAAUAACAAUUUCUCCUGAAGAUGUUGGGGAAAAGGUACCCUAAUACAGUGCUGGCUGGAAUGUCAACUAAAACAAACUCUUUGGGAAACAGUAUGGAGGUUUUCCUCAGAAAUCUGAAAAUAGAUCUACCUUAUGACCCAGCAAUCCCACUUCUGGAAUUUACUGAAGAGAAGUGAAAUCAACAUACAAAAGAGUUAUCUGUACGCCCUGUUCACAGCAGCUCAAUUCACAAUAGUUAAGAUACGGAAUCUACCCAGAUGUCCAUCAGCUGUUGACUGUAUAACGCAAAUGUUGUAUACAUACACUCUGGAGUGCUAUUCAGCCAUAAAAAUGACUGAAAUCCUAUCUUUUGCACCAAAUGGAUACAACUGGAAACCAUUAUAUUUAGUGAAAUAAUCCAGUCCCAAAAAGGCAAUUAUCAUAAGUUUUCCCUGAUCUGUGCCAACUAAUAGAGUAAAAGAAAUGUAAUAUUUAUGAGCAAAAUUGACAUUUUGAGAACUGAUUGUUUACAUCUUUUGUCUCCACUGUUGAACAGUGUUUUUUGUUUUUGUUUUUGCUUUAUUUCUUCUUAGUAUUUGUUGAAUUCUUUAUUUAGUGGAGGGUUAAGCUUAUGAUUAUAAAAUAUGCUGAAAAUAUGUCAUUGCAAAAAUUAAAAGAAAGAAUAUGAAUAUGAAAGGAGU
Molecule: non-coding RNA, 9944 nt
Organism: Oryctolagus cuniculus (rabbit)
Lineage: Eukaryota; Metazoa; Chordata; Mammalia; Lagomorpha; Leporidae
Source: RefSeq, a predicted model, not a curated record